RNAcentral lists this ribosomal RNA (463 nucleotides) under uncultured bacterium. RNAcentral's name for it is "partial 16S ribosomal RNA". It matches the Rfam family "Bacterial small subunit ribosomal RNA", at positions 28 to 507 of the family's 1533-position model. The record is from RNAcentral.
GAUGAACGCUGCCCGAAUGCUUAACACAUGCAAGUCUUUGGCGAAGCUGUGCUUGCACAGCCUAGCCAAGGCGGACGGGUGAGUAACGCGUAAGGAACUUGCCCUGCAGUCAGGGAUAACAGACGGAAACGACUGAUAAGACCUGGUAAAGUCAGGCGGACUCAUGUCCAGCCUGAUGAAAAGAGAUGCUGCAGGAGAGCCUUGCGUCCUAUUAGCUUGUUGGUGGGGUAACGGCCCACCAAGGCGAUGAUAGGUAGCCGGCCUGAGAGGGUGGACGGCCACAAGGGGACUGAGAUACGGCCCUUACUCCUACGGGAGGCAGCAGUGGGGAAUAUUGGAAAAUGGGGGCAACCCUGAUCCAGCAAUUCUGUGUGCAAGAUGAAGGUUUUCGGAUUGUAAAGUGCUUUCAGCAGGGAAAAAAAAAAUGACGGUACCUGCAGAAGAAGCGACGGCUAAAUACGUG